RNAcentral lists this ribosomal RNA (482 nucleotides) under uncultured bacterium. RNAcentral describes it as "partial 16S ribosomal RNA". It matches the Rfam family "Bacterial small subunit ribosomal RNA", at positions 30 to 507 of the family's 1533-position model. The record is from RNAcentral.
AUUGAACGCUGGCGGCAUGCUUUACACAUGCAAGUCGAACGGUAGCAGCACUUCGGUGGCUGACGAGUGGCGAACGGGUGAGUAAUACAUCGGAACGUGCCUAGUAGUGGGGGAUAACUACUCGAAAGAGUAGCUAAUACCGCAUGAGAUCUAAGGAUGAAAGCAGGGGACCUUCGGGCCUUGCGCUACUAGAGCGGCUGAUGGCAGAUUAGGUAGUUGGUGGGAUAAAAGCUUACCAAGCCGACGAUCUGUAGCUGGUCUGAGAGGACGACCAGCCACACUGGGACUGAGACACGGCCCAGACUCCUACGGGAGGCAGCAGUGGGGAAUUUUGGACAAUGGGCGCAAGCCUGAUCCAGCAAUGCCGCGUGCAGGAUGAAGGCCUUCGGGUUGUAAACUGCUUUUGUACGGAACGAAAAGCCCUCUUCUAAUACAGGAGGGUCAUGACGGUACCGUAAGAAUAAGCACCGGCUAACUACGUG